Molecule: ribosomal RNA, 702 nt
Filed under: Bacillus subtilis
Lineage: Bacteria; Bacillati; Bacillota; Bacilli; Caryophanales; Bacillaceae
Description: bacterial SSU rRNA
Rfam family: Bacterial small subunit ribosomal RNA
Source: RNAcentral
UGUUAGCGGCGGACGGGUGAGUAACACGUGGGUAACCUGCCUGUAAGACUGGGAUAACUCCGGGAAACCGGGGCUAAUACCGGAUGCUUGUUUGAACCGCAUGGUUCAAACAUAAAAGGUGGCUUCGGCUACCACUUACAGAUGGACCCGCGGCGCAUUAGCUAGUUGGUGAGGUAAUGGCUCACCAAGGCAACGAUGCGUAGCCGACCUGAGAGGGUGAUCGGCCACACUGGGACUGAGACACGGCCCAGACUCCUACGGGAGGCAGCAGUAGGGAAUCUUCCGCAAUGGACGAAAGUCUGACGGAGCAACGCCGCGUGAGUGAUGAAGGUUUUCGGAUCGUAAAGCUCUGUUGUUAGGGAAGAACAAGUGCCGUUCAAAUAGGGCGGCACCUUGACGGUACCUAACCAGAAAGCCACGGCUAACUACGUGCCAGCAGCCGCGGUAAUACGUAGGUGGCAAGCGUUGUCCGGAAUUAUUGGGCGUAAAGGGCUCGCAGGCGGUUUCUUAAGUCUGAUGUGAAAGCCCCCGGCUCAACCGGGGAGGGUCAUUGGAAACUGGGGAACUUGAGUGCAGAAGAGGAGAGUGGAAUUCCACGUGUAGCGGUGAAAUGCGUAGAGAUGUGGAGGAACACCAGUGGCGAAGGCGACUCUCUGGUCUGUAACUGACGCUGAGGAGCGAAAGCGUGGGGAGCGAACAGGA